RNAcentral lists this ribosomal RNA (778 nucleotides) under uncultured Neocallimastigales. RNAcentral describes it as "partial large subunit ribosomal RNA". It matches the Rfam family "Eukaryotic large subunit ribosomal RNA", at positions 23 to 639 of the family's 3401-position model. Lineage: Eukaryota; Fungi; Neocallimastigomycota; Neocallimastigomycetes; Neocallimastigales. The record is from RNAcentral.
AUAGAGACUCAGAGCUGCAUAUCAAUAAGCGGAGGAAAAGAAACUAACUAGGAUUCCCUCAGUAACGGCGAGUGAAGCGGGAAGAGCUCAAAUUUGAAAUCUUCAAGGUUUUACCUUGACGAAUUGUAGUUUAAAGAAGUGUUUUCUGUUGGAGUUUUGGUAAAAGUUCUUUGGAAAAGGACAUCAUAGAGGGUGAGAAUCCCGUAUUUGACCAUUAUCUCCAGCUUUGUGAUACACUUUCAAAGAGUCGGAUUGUUUGGGAAUGCAGUCCAAAAUGGGUGGUAAAUUUCAUCUAAAGCUAAAUAUUGGCGAGAGACCGAUAGCGAACAAGUACCGUGAGGGAAAGAUGAAAAGAACUUUGAAAAGAGAGUUAAACAGUACGUGAAAUUGUCAAAAGGGAAGCGUUUGACACCAGUGUUGUUUUUCUCGAAAAUCAAUUACAAAAUGGCUGGAUUUUGUGUUGUAUUGACUUUAUCAGCUUUCUGCACUUUUUUCUUGUCUUUUUUAAUGCACUUUUCGUUUAACAAGUCAACAUCAAUUUCUUUUGUUGUAAAAAGGGUCAUUGGAAGGUGGCUUUCUUUUCGGAGAAAGUGUUUAUAGCCUUUGGCCUCUGCAAUUCGGAGAGAUUGAGGUCUGCAGCGUAGAUCCUUCGGGGUUAGAUACAUUUGUGCUAAGUUACAGCCUUUCAUAGACAACUUGUUGACUAUGAUCAGUCAUGUAGCUUACUCGCUUAUGCUAUUUUACCUACGCUUAGGAUGUUGACGAUCAGCUGAGCGCG